UACGAAGGGGGCUAGCGUUGCUCGGAAUCACUGGGCGUAAAGGGCGCGUAGGCGGUCAUUCAAGUCGGAGGUGAAAGCCCAGGGCUCAACCCUGGAAUUGCCUUCGAUACUGUCUGGCUAGAGACCGGAAGAGGUAAGUGGAACUGCGAGUGUAGAGGUGAAAUUCGUAGAUAUUCGCAAGAACACCAGUGGCGAAGGCGGCUUACUGGUCCGGUUCUGACGCUGAGGCGCGAAAGCGUGGGGAGCAAACAGG
RNAcentral lists this ribosomal RNA (253 nucleotides) under uncultured bacterium. Its description in RNAcentral is "partial 16S ribosomal RNA". It matches the Rfam family "Bacterial small subunit ribosomal RNA", at positions 524 to 776 of the family's 1533-position model. The record is from RNAcentral.